This 2467-nucleotide long non-coding RNA is filed under the name Olea europaea subsp. europaea. Lineage: Eukaryota; Viridiplantae; Streptophyta; Magnoliopsida; Lamiales; Oleaceae. The record is from RNAcentral.
CCCGUUUAAAACUUUUAAACCAAACCCUUUCAAUUAACGCCGGGAUCCGAGAAUUCCAAACCAUCGCACUUCUAGGAAGACAAGCACUAACCUUCUCACCCCCAAACUGCUUUUUUUUUCAGUUUGGUUUCUAAAUAAGGUACUUAGGAAUUUUAUUCAAACCUAAGUCAACAACAUCAACAAUUCCACAAAAAUUACAUUGUGUACCAACAUAAGUGAUAAAUCAAUAUGGCUAUGUGCUCAAAUAAUCAAAUCUAACAUGGAUAAGUUUUAAAGUAAAAGUACAAGUUAAGAUGUUAUCCGGCAUCUAACUAAAUAUGUACUCAAUUCAAACAAAUAAUAUCUUCAUAGACGGCAAGUCGUCAACGCUACUAAACAAAUUUUUUAUUUUUUAUUUUUUUAUUUUUAUGAAUGAUUUUUUAUUUAUUUAUUUUAUAACAGUUAUACGGACUCAAUUAGCAGUUGAAAAAUAUGUAUUCUAAGUAUCCUAAUACUCACCCACCCCCAAACUAAAAUACUACAUUGUCCCCAAUGUAGAAGCAAAACUAAACAAAGUAAAGGGUAAGGAUCAGAAACUCCCCGGGGUAAAUGUGGAUGCAAUGAAUAAUCAGGCUGCUCCAAUUGGUAGGUAUCACGACAGAUGUAGCUUUUCUUUGUUGUGAGGCUUUAAUUCUCUGUUUCAAGUAUUCAAAAUAAAUAUUAGUGAUAGCAUACAAAAGUUAGAUAUUUGCAAUAAAUUCAUACCAAGAAAGAUUGAGAUUUAGGUACCACCUUAAAGAUGCAUAUCACAUCAAUGUAAGCUCAAUAGAAUGCUAAGAUGUUAACGAUGAACCUAGAUAACCAUGUCAAAAUAAAAUGAACUUAAUAAAUAAAUAUGCCUAAGUUACUGGUGCAGGUCUGAAAGUACCACUUAAAAUGUGUCCAACACUACCCAUUUAAAUGCAUGAGUUCCUAAAUUAAUGCAGUCCCUAAAACUAUAUGUAAUGCAAUAGUUAAUUAAAAUAGCAAAAGGAGAUAGAAGAAUGGGUUGCCUCCCAUUAAGCGCUCGAUUUAUAGUCUAGAGCUCGACUUUUUGUUCAUUCAUUCUGGUGUUGCAAGUUGAACGGUUGAUUUUUCUUUCGAAAAUUCACCGUUCCAAUAUGGCUUCAACCGUUGUCCAUUAACCUUAAAGGUCCCUUUACUUUCAUGCGUUAUUUCAACUGUCCCAUAAGGAAACACCUUGACUAUGGUGUAUGGCCCUGACCACCUAGACCUCAAUUUACCAGGAAAAAGUUUGAGUCUAGAAUUGUACAGCAAAACUUGUUGCCCAACCUCAAACUUCCUUCUUUGAAUGUGCAUGUCAUGCCACUUUUUUGUGCGCUCCUUGUAGAGUUUUGCGUUCUCAUAGGCUUCCAAUCGAAACUCAUCCAUUUCAUUCAACUGAAGUAAUCUCUUUUCACCGGCGGCCUUUAAAUUAAAGUUCAAGUUCUUGACUGCCCAAUAAGCUCGGUGCUCCAAUUCAACUGGCAAAUGACACGCUUUUCCAAAAACCAAACGAUAAGGAGACAUGCCUAUAGGUGUUUUAAAAGCCGUUCUGUAAGCCCACAAAGCAUCAUCAAGUUUCUUAGACCAAUCUUUUCUUGAAGAACUCACUGUUACCUCCAGUAUCCGCUUUAAUUCUCGAUUGGAGAUUUCAACUUGACCGCUGGUCUGAGGGUGAUAAGGGGUAGCUAUACGAUGUCGGACGCCAUAUUUAGCCAGCAAAGACUCAAACUGACGAUUGCAAAAGUGUUUGCCCCCAUCACUUAUGAUAGCUCGAGGUGUACCAUAACGGGUGAAAAUAUACUUCUUUAGGAACCCAAUUACAACCUUCGCAUCGUUGGUUGGCAAUGCUACUGCUUCCACCCACUUAGAAACAUAAUCAACGGCGACAAGUAUAUACUGAUUCGAGAAUGAUGAGGGAAAUGGCCCCAUAAAGUCGAUCCCCCACACAUCAAAGAGCUCUACCUCCAGAAUGCUAUUCAGAGGCAUCUCGUUCUUUCCUGAGAUAUUUCCCGUGCGCUGACAUCUAUCACACCUCUUCACAAAUUCAAAUGUAUCUCGGAAUAUCGAUGGCCAGUAAAAACCAGACUGUAGAAUUUUAGCGGCAGUCUUUGAUGCGCCAAAGUGUCCAGCAUAGGCAGAUGAAUGACAUUGCUCGAGUAUCUGAGGGAUCUCUUCUUUAGGAAUACACCACCUAAUAAUUUGAUCUGGACCCCGCCUGUAAAGAAUAGGGUCCUCCCAAAAAUAAUACUUCAAGUCAGAAAAGAAUUUCUUCUUUUGAUGACUUGAAUAGUCUGGUGGAAUAAUGGAUUUGGCCACAUAAUUCACUAUAUCAGCAUACCAAGGUACAUCCUCUAUAUUGAAAAUCUGUUCAUCUGGAAAGAUCUCAUUUAUGUUCACUGACUUUUCCUGUUCUCCAUGCUCAAGUCGGGAUAGGUGAUCAGCU